GCCUGAGUGGCUCAGUCGGUUGAGCAUCCGACUUCAGCUCAGGUCAUGAUCUCGCGGUCUGUGAGUUCGAGCCCCGCGUCAGGCU
This 85-nucleotide transfer RNA is filed under the name Felis catus (domestic cat). It matches the Rfam family "tRNA". Rfam says of the family: Transfer RNA (tRNA) molecules are approximately 80 nucleotides in length. Their secondary structure includes four short double-helical elements and three loops (D, anti-codon, and T loops). Lineage: Eukaryota; Metazoa; Chordata; Mammalia; Carnivora; Felidae. RNAcentral also lists the same sequence under 1 other name. The record is from Rfam by way of RNAcentral.